GACGAAAUAGUUUAAGGAAAAUAUCUAUCUUACACGUAGGGGUUGGCUGGUGUGUCUAUCGUC
Molecule: transfer RNA, 63 nt
Filed under: Paragonimus skrjabini miyazakii
Lineage: Eukaryota; Metazoa; Platyhelminthes; Trematoda; Plagiorchiida; Troglotrematidae
Description: tRNA-Val
Source: RNAcentral